Molecule: ribosomal RNA, 253 nt
Filed under: uncultured bacterium
Lineage: Bacteria
Description: partial 16S ribosomal RNA
Rfam family: Bacterial small subunit ribosomal RNA
Source: RNAcentral
UACGAAGGGGGCUAGCGUUGCUCGGAAUCACUGGGCGUAAAGGGCGCGUAGGCGGCUGUUCAAGUCGGGGGUGAAAGCCUGUGGCUCAACCACAGAAUGGCCUUCGAUACUGGACGGCUCGAGACCGGAAGAGGUCAGUGGAACUGCGAGUGUAGAGGUGAAAUUCGUAGAUAUUCGCAAGAACACCAGUGGCGAAGGCGGCUCACUGGCCCGAUACUGACGCUGAGGCACGAAAGCGUGGGGAGCAAACAGG